AAAAAAUACAAGGAUCGCCUGUCCAUGCUGUACAAAGCGUAUGAGACAUUCAAAGAUGAGCUGACCUCAGUUCUCAACCACCCGCUAAUGCCAUCAGAGUUUGAACGCGCUUGGCAUGAGCCCAUGGAGAAGUAUAACCUGCAAAAUGAUGAAAUUAUGAAGGCGCUCUGGACAGACCGAAAAGAAUGGAUAUCAGCUUACUACAAGGAGGUGUUCUGUGCACGGAUGACGUCGACACAGAGAAGUGAAAGCAUGAACCGGAUCUUGAAGAGGAACUUUGUCAAGGAAAUACAUGACCUACACAUCUUUGCAUCGCAGGUGGACAGGUGCAUCCAGACAAGGAAGGGCGUCGAGCACGUGGAGAUCAUAGCUAACGAGACGGAAAUAAAGACUACUACUCAGUUUGGUUUCGAGGUUCAGCUCUCCAAGAUUUACACCAGGGCGGUAUUUGCUGACUUCAAGCAAACGCACUACCGAAGCACUGCAUUCAGAUCAGAGCAGUCCCCUGACAACCCAACGAAAUAUUUGGUGCGCCACUACAACCAGUCUGAUGAUUUUGAUUGGGCAAGACACGAGUUCCACGUAGUUGCUGAUGUGACGAACGGUAUCUAUGAAUGCGAAUGCAAGCUGUGGACACACACAGGCCUGUUCUGCGUGCACAUCAUUUGCAUGUUCGAUCAGCUGCGGGUGGACAAGAUACUUGAAGAGUACAUAUUGAAGAGAUACACACGGAACGCGCGCCAAAAUGCAACUUUUGACCGCAGAGACUAUGAGCAAACUGCUCCAGAUGGGAGUUCGAUGUUCUGCCGUAGGAGACUACUUGCAGAAACAGUGAUGGACCUGGCAAACAUGGGUGUCAAAUCGGAUAGAGGGUACAAUAGAGCUUUAGCUGGGAUGAGAGCACUCAUACAAGAAGUCGACGUACUAAACGAAGAAGAAGAAGCAAAGAGCAUCAGGGAUGCGCGGAGUGAAGAACAAGGAGAGGAGCGCGAACAUGCUGCUGAUGGUGCAGCUCAUAAUAUGGAUGACACAAUUCUUCCCCCACCUGUUUCAAACACAAAAGGGAGAAAGAAAGAGAGCAAAUCAGCCAAUAAAAAAGCUGCAGCAAAUGAAAAAGGUCCUGAAAAAAAAAGCAGGCCUGAGCCAGAACUGGACAGCGAAGGAAGACCACUAGGGGUAAAGAUGUGCAAAUCAUGCAAUAAGAUUGCGGGACACAACUCAAGAACAUGUAAGGAGAGGCUAAAAAAAUCCAGGCUGAAAAUGCCGCCACAGAUCACCAAGCUGACCAACAAGAUGAUAUGA
Molecule: ribosomal RNA, 1302 nt
Filed under: Triticum aestivum (bread wheat)
Lineage: Eukaryota; Viridiplantae; Streptophyta; Magnoliopsida; Poales; Poaceae
Description: partial small subunit ribosomal RNA
Source: RNAcentral